CAAGGCAUAGCUUAAUAUAAAGCAUCCGGCUUACACCCUGAAGACCUCAAUAUAAUUUGAUUGCCUUGA
Non-coding RNA from Papio anubis (olive baboon), 69 nucleotides. Lineage: Eukaryota; Metazoa; Chordata; Mammalia; Primates; Cercopithecidae. The record is from Rfam.